This 499-nucleotide ribosomal RNA is filed under the name uncultured bacterium. RNAcentral describes it as "partial 16S ribosomal RNA". It matches the Rfam family "Bacterial small subunit ribosomal RNA", at positions 28 to 507 of the family's 1533-position model. The record is from RNAcentral.
GACGAACGCUGGCGGCGUGCCUAAUACAUGCAAGUCGAGCGAAGUUUUUCUGGUGCUUGCACUAGAAAAACUUAGCGGCGAACGGGUGAGUAACACGUAAAGAACCUGCCUCAUAGACUGGGACAACUAUUGGAAACGAUAGCUAAUACCGGAUAACAGUAUUUCUCGCAUGAGAGAUAUUUAAAAGUUGGUUAUGCUAACACUAUGAGAUGGCUUUGCGGUGCAUUAGCUAGUUGGUGGGGUAAAGGCCCACCAAGGCGACGAUGCAUAGCCGACCUGAGAGGGUGAUAGGCCACACUGGGACUGAGACACGGCCCAGACUCCUACGGGAGGCAGCAGUAGGGAAUCUUCCGCAAUGGGCGAAAGCCUGACGGAGCAACGCCGCGUGAGUGAAGAAGGAUUUCGGUUCGUAAAGCUCUGUUGUUAGGGAAGAAUGGAUAUGUAGUAACUAUACAUGUAAGAGACGGUACCUAACCAGAAAGCCACGGCUAACUACGUG